This 497-nucleotide ribosomal RNA is filed under the name uncultured bacterium. Its description in RNAcentral is "partial 16S ribosomal RNA". It matches the Rfam family "Bacterial small subunit ribosomal RNA", at positions 28 to 507 of the family's 1533-position model. The record is from RNAcentral.
GAUGAACGCUGACGGCGUGCCUAAUACAUGCAAGUCGAGCGAACGGACGAGAAGCUUGCUUCUCUGAUGUUAGCGGCGGACGGGUGAGUAACACGUGGAUAACCUACCUAUAAGACUGGGAUAACUUCGGGAAACCGGAGCUAAUACCGGAUAAUAUUUUGAACCGCAUGGUUCAAAAGUGAAAGACGGUCUUGCUGUCACUUAUAGAUGGAUCCGCGCUGCAUUAGCUAGUUGGUAAGGUAACGGCUUACCAAGGCAACGAUGCAUAGCCGACCUGAGAGGGUGAUCGGCCACACUGGAACUGAGACACGGUCCAGACUCCUACGGGAGGCAGCAGUAGGGAAUCUUACGCAAUGGGCGAAAGCCUGACGGAGCAACGCCGCGUGAGUGAUGAAGGUCUUCGGAUCGUAAAACUCUGUUAUUAGGGAAGAACAUAUGUGUAAGUAACUGUGCACAUCUUGACGGUACCUAAUCAGAAAGCCACGGCUAACUACGUG